CCGAGCCGCGCGUUUGGCUCUCACCCGCCCAAUUGUUGCCGCCUCAGCCCCCUCCCCCUUCCGGGUACCUGGAAACCUCGGGCCCGGGAGCCAAUUCCUGCCGGGGACGCGGGCCCGGGCGGCCGCGGGAAGCCAAGGAUACUACAUUUAGUGCUCAUGUCUCCCUAAGCUCCUUGUGGCUGUGACAAUUUUUCAUACUUUCCUCGUUUUUGCUGUCCUCCAUGGUUUUGAGGAAUACUGGUACCAUCAUCUCGGUGGAGCAUCUGUUCUCAAAAGUGUAGGCACAGAGGGAAUGACAUCCUGAUUUUUCUCUGCACGGGCGACAGAAGGACCUUGGCUUCACAUCCUGGCAAUUCUCAGCACUAUUUGAAGCCUCAGAGUCCUCUGCUUCCAUUGGCAGAAAAGGGAAGAGCCAGUGGAGAAGCCAUAUCGGAUUCAUAAAACCCUGGCUCAGAGUGCUGUGUCUCCAGGACCUGGAAUUGGGCUGCCAUGUGCUAGGCACUUGAGGACCAAAUACUAACCAGUGAAGUGGUUGAGCCGUAUCGGUCCACUGAGCCACAAGCAAUGCAUCAAAGAAAGAAUUUAAGAUGGAUUUUUCAUAACCCUCUGAUGGAAUGAUAACAUCAUGCACCCAGUCUCAUCCAGAAAUGUUGAAGACACAUGAGGAGGACACCAAAGAACUCACUUCUCACAUUAUUGUUAGAAGAAACUCCAAGAGAGGUCUAAAGAGGAGAGAAAGAGAAGGAGGUGGAGAUGAGCAGCCUUACAGCAACUGUGAAUCUGCCAACAGCCUGGAGGUGGGAGAACAGGCUCUGUCCUUUAGGACCUCUGUACAGAUCAACAGAGAAGAUCUCCUGGAGGAAGAGCAUUGACUUAAGUCAUGGAACCACCUAUCUCUUUCUACUUAAAGGCAUAUUGCAUCUCUUUCUUCCUUUUGGCUAAGGGACAAGAGGAAAUAGAAAGAAAAGAAAGGUUCUCUCACAAGGCUGCUAUCAAGAUUUUUGGCCAGGGAUGGGGUCUAAUCUGAAGCUAGAUUGAAGAAGGAUCCUCUUCCAAAUUUACAUGAUUGUUGGUUGCCAGGAUUAAGUUCCUUGUGGGCUGUUGGACUGAAGGUUCCAAUUCCUAGUUGACUAGUUGCUGGAGGCUGCCCUUGGUUCCUUGCUAUGUGGGCCUCUCCAUUUGGAAGCCUGCUUCAUCAAAGCUAACAAGGGAUAGAGUCUCCUAGCAAGAUGGAAGUUACAAUCUUGGGUAAUAAAAUCAUAGACAUGACAGAGCAUCCCCUUUGUUGAAUACUGCUGGUUGGAAGCAAGUCACAUUUUCCACUCAUACCAAAGGGAGGGAAUUAUACAAAGUUAUGAAUAUAGGAGAUAGGGCUAAUUUGGAGCCAUCUUAGUGUCUGUCCAUCAUAGAAACAUUAGAUGCAAUUACCAGAGGUUGGGGUAAGUCCUCUAUUCCUAAUCAUAGUCUCUGUAACAGAAAGCCUUUAAUAUAAAGGUGGGAGUGGGAAUCGAAUCCAGGAUGACAGACAUUCUGAACUGAUAGAUGAAACAUAGUAGUGGAAAAUGUACAACUCACUUGAAUUCUAGGUGAUCUGGCAGAUAGGUAGCCAGAGAGCCAUUCAUUUCAGGGAAAUGUUUCAGUAACACCUGAAAGAAGAUAAGGUCUAGAUGUUGGUUCUGGGAGACACUGACAGGAGUAAGCCAGAGUGGAGCCAGUAGUUUACUAAAGUAGAAACUUAUAUCUGGGGGGAAAAAGCAAAGUCCCAUUUGCCAGAAUUAUAGAGUAAAGAACUUUAAAAAUCUAAGUUCUUACCUAGGCUCAGAUUUCUGUGUGGUCAGGGAGAUUGUAUCUAUGGAUUUAUCAAUAAGUAUGUUAGAUUUUGAUUGUUCAAGGUGAGAGAGUGGGGAGCUUGCUCCUUUUUGGGAAGAAAAGCACCGAUGGGCUCUCUGCUUAUUGCUACUGGCUGAGGCCACCCUGCCAUGGCUACCUAGGAAACCCGUGCAGUACAUGGGUGUAAGGAAGCUUGGUGGUCAGAAAUAGGAGUAACUGGCAGCUGCACUGUUGAACUACAGGUAGAGGCAACAAGUAGCCAGAAAGUGGAUUCCCAAUUCUAUAUCUACUCAACUCCCAUCAUUUCUGCUAUUCCUGCUGGACCGCCAGCUGAAAGUGGCUCAUUUGCAUACCAUUUUUAAACAUCUAAA
Long non-coding RNA from Mustela erminea (ermine), 2201 nucleotides. RefSeq lists it as uncharacterized. The record is from RefSeq and is a predicted model, not a curated record. NCBI's taxonomy places the organism in Eukaryota, Metazoa, Chordata, Mammalia, Carnivora, Mustelidae. The transcript has 9 exons.